RNAcentral lists this ribosomal RNA (434 nucleotides) under uncultured bacterium. RNAcentral describes it as "partial 16S ribosomal RNA". It matches the Rfam family "Bacterial small subunit ribosomal RNA", at positions 29 to 506 of the family's 1533-position model. The record is from RNAcentral.
AACGAACGCUGGCGGCAGGCUUAACACAUGCAAGUCGAACGCGUGCAGCAAUGCACGAGUGGCGCACGGGUGAGUAACGCGUGGAUAUCUGCCUUUUGGUUCGGAAUAACCCCGGGAAACUGGGGCUAAUACCGGAUGGUUCCUACGGGAUAAAGAUUUAUCGCCAAAAGAUGAGUCCGCGUCCGAUUAGCUAGUUGGUGAGGUAAUGGCUCACCAAGGCGACGAUCGGUAGCUGGUCUGAGAGGACGAUCAGCCACACUGGGACUGAGACACGGCCCAGACUCCUACGGGAGGCAGCAGUGGGGAAUAUUGGACAGUGGGGGCAACCCUGAUCCAGCCAUGCCGCGUGAGUGAUGAAGGCCUUCGGGUUGUAAAGCUCUUUUGGCGGGGACGAUGAUGACGGUACCCGCAGAAUAAGCCCCGGCUAACUUCGU